Molecule: ribosomal RNA, 39 nt
Filed under: Allanblackia floribunda
Lineage: Eukaryota; Viridiplantae; Streptophyta; Magnoliopsida; Malpighiales; Clusiaceae
Description: partial 28S ribosomal RNA
Source: RNAcentral
AGCGACCCCAGGUCAGGCGAGACUACCCACUGAGUUUAA